This 409-nucleotide long non-coding RNA is filed under the name Solanum tuberosum (potato). RNAcentral's name for it is "long non-coding RNA (STUB_LNC011736)". The record is from RNAcentral. Lineage: Eukaryota; Viridiplantae; Streptophyta; Magnoliopsida; Solanales; Solanaceae.
GUAUAUUCUUCAACUCCACAUUCAUCAAUUUUCUCCUCCAACUUCAACAAUAACAACAAUCAUGACGCGAUCAACGAAACUUAAAUAUGUGCUGACGGAGCCAGAGAUGGACGCGGCUUUGCAGUUAAUUCAACUUAGCGGAGAUUCUCAUAACGACGAUUAUUUCGAAGUAAAUGAAGAAGAAAGCAAAAGAGGGAAUACGCCGGAGACAUUAAUAAGGAAAAGGAAGUUCCGGUUAGUCGUUGAUCUUUACGACGAGACGGAACCGUUGUCGAUGAUGAAGAUGAAGAAGAAGAAGAAGAAGCAUCAACAUCACGGAGGAUUUAAAAUUAAAUAGUAAUUAGUUAUACGUAUUGUUAUGUAAUAAUGUAAAUUAAUCAUAAGCAAUUAUUUAGAUUUGUAUUUCGAU